This 24-nucleotide ribosomal RNA is filed under the name Kluyveromyces marxianus. Its description in RNAcentral is "partial 28S ribosomal RNA". The record is from RNAcentral. Lineage: Eukaryota; Fungi; Ascomycota; Saccharomycetes; Saccharomycetales; Saccharomycetaceae.
GUUUGACCUCAAAUCAGGUAGGAG